CCUACGGGUGGCAGCAGUGGGGAAUAUUGCGCAAUGAGCGAAAGCCUGACGCAGCGACGCCGCGUGAGGGAUGAAGGUCUUCGGAUCGUAAACCUCUGUCAGCAGGGCAGAACGGUCACUGUGCUAAUCAGCAGUGCAUUGACGGUACCUGCAAAGGAAGCACCGGCUAACUCCGUGCCAGCAGCCGCGGUAAUACGGAGGGUGCGAGCGUUAAUCGGAAUUACUGGGCGUAAAGCGCUCGUAGGCGGUAUGUCAAGUCAAGGGUGAAAUCCCCGGGCUCAACGUGGGAACUGCCUUUGAAACUGGCAAACUGGAGUGUGUGAGAGGAUAGUGGAAUUCCAGGUGUAGGAGUGAAAUCCGUAGAGAUCUGGAGGAACAUCAGUGGCGAAGGCGACUAUCUGGCACAUAACUGACGCUGAGGAGCGAAAGCGUGGGUAGCAAACAGGAUUAGAUACCCCUGUAGUC
RNAcentral lists this ribosomal RNA (465 nucleotides) under uncultured bacterium. RNAcentral describes it as "partial 16S ribosomal RNA". It matches the Rfam family "Bacterial small subunit ribosomal RNA", at positions 338 to 795 of the family's 1533-position model. The record is from RNAcentral.